UGGGGAAUUUUGGACAAUUGGGCGAAAGCCUGAUCCAGCAAUGCCGCGUGUGUGAAGAAGGCCUUCGGGUUGUAAAGCACUUUUGUCCGGAAAGAAAUCCUUGGCUCUAAUACAGUCGGGGGAUGACGGUACCGGAAGAAUAAGCACCGGCUAACUACGUGCCAGCAGCCGCGGUAAUACGUAGGGUGCAAGCGUUAAUCGGAAUUACUGGGCGUAAAGCGUGCGCAGGCGGUUUGCUAAGACCGAUGUGAAAUCCCCGGGCUCAACCUGGGAACUGCAUUGGUGACUGGCAGGCUAGAGUAUGGCAGAGGGGGGUUAGAAUUCCACGUGUAGCAGUGAAAUGCGUAGAGAUGUGGAGGAAUACCGAUGGCGAAGGCAGCCCCCUGGGCCAAUACUGACGCUCAUGCACGAAAGCGUGGGGGAGCAAAACAGGAUUAGAUACCCUGGUAGUCCACGCCCUAAACGAUGUCAACUAGUUGUUGGGGAUUCAUUUCCUAGUAACGUAGCUAACGCGUGAAGUUGACCGCCUGGGGAGUACGGUCGCAA
RNAcentral lists this ribosomal RNA (546 nucleotides) under uncultured bacterium. RNAcentral describes it as "partial 16S ribosomal RNA". It matches the Rfam family "Bacterial small subunit ribosomal RNA", at positions 355 to 891 of the family's 1533-position model. The record is from RNAcentral.